Molecule: long non-coding RNA, 339 nt
Organism: Rhineura floridana
Lineage: Eukaryota; Metazoa; Chordata; Lepidosauria; Squamata; Rhineuridae
Exons: 3
Source: RefSeq, a predicted model, not a curated record
UAGCAGCCUUAGGGAGUGAGCGCAUCAUCUGUCUGCAAUGAAGGGAGCAUGCCUAUGCACCAGUGGACCUGACACAAUCUAAAGAUGACACCACCUCCCUCUGCCAUCCCCUCCAAGGAAUUUGCCCCCAAGAGAGCUGCUCUUGGAGUUAAGUUACUCAGAAUAAACCUCAAGAAUGAAGUCAAAGGGACCGGGUCUGUCACAACCAGGUGGUGCAGUGAAAGAGGUGAUAAUAAGGCUUUCGAGUUUCUUUGUGACAAACAUCUUAGAGGAAGAGUGAGGAAAAUAAUAAAGAAGGAUUCUUCCUUCCUUUGAUCAGGUUCCAGUGUCAUGACAGUU